This 174-nucleotide unclassified non-coding RNA is filed under the name fungal sp. RNAcentral describes it as "partial contains small subunit ribosomal RNA, internal transcribed spacer 1, and 5.8S ribosomal RNA". The stretch from base 1 to 46 matches the Rfam family "Eukaryotic small subunit ribosomal RNA", at positions 1786 to 1831 of the family's 1831-position model. The record is from RNAcentral. Lineage: Eukaryota; Fungi.
AAGUCGUAACAAGGUUUCCGUAGGUGAACCUGCGGAAGGAUCAUUACAAGAAGCCCUUCGGGGAACUUCCACCCUGCAAACAUACCUGUGCUUGGCCCUCGGGUCAACCUUUACUCUGAACCGUUCUGAAUUAAACUAAAAGAAAAACUUUCAACAAUGGAUCUCUUGGCUCGA